Molecule: non-coding RNA, 173 nt
Filed under: SAR324 cluster bacterium
Lineage: Bacteria; Deltaproteobacteria
Description: 6S RNA
Rfam family: 6S / SsrS RNA
About the family: E. coli 6S RNA was the first non coding RNA to be sequenced, but its function was unknown until recently. It consists of 184 nucleotides that fold into an extended hairpin structure with a large single-stranded internal bulge.
Source: RNAcentral
AUAUUCCUGUGGUUCUCGUGAUGCAAUCUUUUGCUACCUUACUUGUUUUGUAAAGGGAUUUGUCCCUGGCGAUGGUGUGCAUGCCUUUAUUUAAAGGAAGCCUUAAAUCCCCAUACGUUAUCCCACCUGGAGAACCAGGUACAAAAUAUUCCACACGGUUUUGCGGCAAUAUC